RNAcentral lists this long non-coding RNA (440 nucleotides) under Saimiri boliviensis boliviensis (Bolivian squirrel monkey). RNAcentral's name for it is "lncRNA (ENSSBOG00000036505.1)". The record is from RNAcentral. Lineage: Eukaryota; Metazoa; Chordata; Mammalia; Primates; Cebidae.
GAAGGAGGGGAAGGAAUGGGGCGGGAGGCGGGGCGGGGAGGGGAAGGGCGAGUGAGGCGCCGCCACUGCCGGCAACUUUGUGAGCGAGUUCAGUGCGUGCGUGAGCGAGUGAGCGAAAAGGAGAGCGCGCGACGGACGCGCCCGGGACGCGCGGCGGCACCGGGAGGUCGGGCCGAACGAUACUUGUUCGGAUCGUUGUGGCCUGUCUCAGAAAAUGUAAUGUUAACUGUAACAAGUUGGCUUACAGAGGCCGUUUAGCCAGAACUCUUGAACACUCUCUCCCUUGCAUGUUAAGGACUGCUUUGGGUAGCUACACUCUGAUCCAGUACCAAAUUCUACCAUGAUCUUCUGGUGGCACAGUGGUUUUUAUUGAAGCCUCUGGAUUUUUCUGUCUGGUAAGUUCUCUGCAUGAAAAGUUCUGCUUACCCCCCUUCAAACUG